ACUAAGCGUACACGGUGGAUGCCCUGGCAGUCAGAGGCGAUGAAGGACGUGCUAAUCUGCGAAAAGCGUCGGUAAGGUGAUAUGAACCGUUAUAACCGGCGAUGUCCGAAUGGGGAAACCCAGUGCAAUUCGUUGCACUAUCGUUAACUGAAUACAUAGGUUAACGAGGCGAACCGGGGGAACUGAAACAUCUAAGUACCCCGAGGAAAAGAAAUCAACCGAGAUUCCCCCAGUAGCGGCGAGCGAACGGGGAGCAGCCCAGAGUCUGAAUCAGCUUGUGUGUUAGUGGAACGGUCUGGAAAGUCCGACGGUACAGGGUGAUAGUCCCGUACACCAAAAUGCACAGGUUGUGAACUCGAAGAGUAGGGCGGGACACGUGGUAUCCUGUCUGAAUAUGGGGGGACCAUCCUCCAAGGCUAAAUACUCCUGACUGACCGAUAGUGAACCAGUACCGUGAGGGAAAGGCGAAAAGAACCCCGGCGAGGGGAGUGAAAAAGAACCUGAAACCGUGUACGUACAAGCAGUGGGAGCACCUUCGGGUGUGACUGCGUACCUUUUGUAUAAUGGGUCAGCGACUUAUAUUCUGUAGCAAGGUUAACCGUAUAGGGGAGCCGCAGGGAAACCGAGUCUUAACUGGGCGUUAAGUUGCAGGGUAUAGACCCGAAACCCGGUGAUCUAGCCAUGGGCAGGUUGAAGGUUGGGUAACACUAACUGGAGGACCGAACCGACUAAUGUUGAAAAAUUAGCGGAUGACUUGUGGCUGGGGGUGAAAGGCCAAUCAAACCGGGAGAUAGCUGGUUCUCCCCGAAAGCUAUUUAGGUAGCGCCUCGUGAACUCAUCUUCGGGGGUAGAGCACUGUUUCGGCUAGGGGGUCAUCCCGACUUACCAACCCGAUGCAAACUACGAAUACCGAAGAAUGUUAUCACGGGAGACACACGGCGGGUGCUAACGUCCGUCGUGAAGAGGGAAACAACCCAGACCGCCAGCUAAGGUCCCAAAGUCAUGGUUAAGUGGGAAACGAUGUGGGAAGGCACAGACAGCCAGGAUGUUGGCUUAGAAGCAGCCAUCAUUUAAAGAAAGCGUAAUAGCUCACUGGUCGAGUCGGCCUGCGCGGAAGAUGUAACGGGGCUAAACCAUGCACCGAAGCUGCGGCAGCGACACUAUGUGUUGUUGGGUAGGGGAGCGUUCUGUAAGCCUGCGAAGGUGUGCUGUGAGGCAUGCUGGAGGUAUCAGAAGUGCGAAUGCUGACAUAAGUAACGAUAAAGCGGGUGAAAAGCCCGCUCGCCGGAAGACCAAGGGUUCCUGUCCAACGUUAAUCGGGGCAGGGUGAGUCGACCCCUAAGGCGAGGCCGAAAGGCGUAGUCGAUGGGAAACAGGUUAAUAUUCCUGUACUUGGUGUUACUGCGAAGGGGGGACGGAGAAGGCUAUGUUAGCCGGGCGACGGUUGUCCCGGUUUAAGCAUGUAGGCUGGUUAUCCAGGCAAAUCCGGAUAAUCAAGGCUGAGGUGUGAUGACGAGGCACUACGGUGCUGAAGUAACAAAUGCCCUGCUUCCAGGAAAAGCCUCUAAGCAUCAGGUAACAUCAAAUCGUACCCCAAACCGACACAGGUGGUCAGGUAGAGAAUACCAAGGCGCUUGAGAGAACUCGGGUGAAGGAACUAGGCAAAAUGGUGCCGUAACUUCGGGAGAAGGCACGCUGGUGUGUAGGUGAAGUCCCUGCGGAUGGAGCUGAGACCAGUCGAAGAUACCAGCUGGCUGCAACUGUUUAUUAAAAACACAGCACUGUGCAAACACGAAAGUGGACGUAUACGGUGUGACGCCUGCCCGGUGCCGGAAGGUUAAUUGAUGGGGUUAUCCGUAAGGAGAAGCUCUUGAUCGAAGCCCCGGUAAACGGCGGCCGUAACUAUAACGGUCCUAAGGUAGCGAAAUUCCUUGUCGGGUAAGUUCCGACCUGCACGAAUGGCGUAAUGAUGGCCAGGCUGUCUCCACCCGAGACUCAGUGAAAUUGAACUCGCUGUGAAGAUGCAGUGUACCCGCGGCAAGACGGAAAGACCCCGUGAACCUUUACUAUAGCUUGACACUGAACAUUGAGCCUUGAUGUGUAGGAUAGGUGGGAGGCUUUGAAGCGUGGACGCCAGUCUGCGUGGAGCCAACCUUGAAAUACCACCCUUUAAUGUUUGAUGUUCUAACGUUGGCCCCUGACCGGGGUUGCGGACAGUGUCUGGUGGGUAGUUUGACUGGGGCGGUCUCCUCCCAAAGCGUAACGGAGGAGCACGAAGGUUAGCUAAUCCUGGUCGGACAUCAGGAGGUUAGUGCAAUGGCAUAAGCUAGCUUGACUGCGAGCGUGACGGCGCGAGCAGGUGCGAAAGCAGGUCAUAGUGAUCCGGUGGUUCUGAAUGGAAGGGCCAUCGCUCAACGGAUAAAAGGUACUCCGGGGAUAACAGGCUGAUACCGCCCAAGAGUUCAUAUCGACGGCGGUGUUUGGCACCUCGAUGUCGGCUCAUCACAUCCUGGGGCUGAAGUAGGUCCCAAGGGUAUGGCUGUUCGCCAUUUAAAGUGGUACGCGAGCUGGGUUUAGAACGUCGUGAGACAGUUCGGUCCCUAUCUGCCGUGGGCGCUGGAGAAUUGAGGGGGGCUGCUCCUAGUACGAGAGGACCGGAGUGGACGCAUCACUGGUGUUCGGGUUGUCAUGCCAAUGGCACUGCCCGGUAGCUAAAUGCGGAAGAGAUAAGUGCUGAAAGCAUCUAAGCACGAAACUUGCCCCGAGAUGAGUUCUCCCUGAGACUUUAAGUCUCCUGAAGGAACGUUAAAGACGAUGACGUUGAUAGGCCGGGUGUGUAAGCGCAGCGAUGCGUUGAGCUAACCGGUACUAAUGAACCGUGAGGCUUAACC
Molecule: ribosomal RNA, 2891 nt
Filed under: Klebsiella pneumoniae
Lineage: Bacteria; Pseudomonadati; Pseudomonadota; Gammaproteobacteria; Enterobacterales; Enterobacteriaceae
Description: bacterial LSU rRNA
Rfam family: Bacterial large subunit ribosomal RNA
Source: RNAcentral